Molecule: non-coding RNA, 1512 nt
Organism: Malus domestica (apple)
Lineage: Eukaryota; Viridiplantae; Streptophyta; Magnoliopsida; Rosales; Rosaceae
Source: RefSeq, a predicted model, not a curated record
CCAAUCCCUUCCUCUCCUGUCUUCUGUCAUCCAAUCAGAAGUCUCUCUCUUCUCUCUCUGCAACACAGAGAACGCCACCUCGGGCGAACCAAAAAACCAUCAAACCACCAUUUUCAUCCUCUCGACGUCACGAGCUCGAACCCGAGCUCCGUUUAGUAAGGAAUUGUGCACAGAAGCCCCAAUUCGGAGCUCCGAAUCGGACUAAGCUUUCCGACGGCCUACGGUGGUUUCCCGACGAAGGACCUAACAGACUUCUUCUUGGAUAAGGACUGUGAACUGAUAUAACAAACUGAAGAGUUUGCAUCCGAACUGGAAAUCUGACUCGGUCUAACAAAGAGUGUGAUCGAAGGAGGAAGACACCCCUGCAAUUCCCGUGAGUUUUGUCUGAUUCAAAUCCAAAGGCCAGAAUGCAAAAUUCUGACAUGCAACCUGAAGAAGCAGUGAGUCGCAUAUGGAGGAGUAAGUCUUUGGAUCAAGAAUACUGGAAGAAAAUAUUCAUGGUGGUGUGUUUGUGCGCUGUUCCAGUUGAUGCAUUGUUCCUCUACAUUCCCAUUCUGAAGGAUGAUGUCAAAUGCCUUAUGUUAGACUCAAAGCUGAAGAUAGCCGUUCUUCUUUUAAGAUCAAUCAUAGAUUUUUUCCAUUUAAUGGACAUUAUUAUUCGAAUUUAUAGAUCUGAGAAAUAUUCUGGUUUAAUCAAUGAACCUAACCACAGACAAAACCAGAGGAAUUUCAGUUUCUUAUUGAAAUUUUGCGUGCGAAGAAUAGCCAAGGCAAUAUGGUUGUCAAAAGAUAUCUUAAUUGACAUUGUAGCUCUUCUUCCCCUUCCACAGGUAAGAAAUUAAAUCCUUUUGGUGGAGUAAUUGUUUUCCCUAUUUGCUUUGCGUGUGGUCGAAGCGGAUAUUUUAGUGUUAAAUGCACAAAAGUGACAUACUGUGAGUCUCAUAUACACUUGGUUAGCUCGAGUGUGAUCCAUUGAUUUGCUCAUGAUAUUAUCAGAUUUUGAUUCUUGAUACUACUAAUGUAUAUCCACUAUCCAGGUGGCAAUUCUCAUUUUAUUCUCAAAAAUGAAUGACUUGAGAUAUUUGACUACAACAAGGAUGGUUUUUGUGAACAUUUUUGCUCUGUUGCAAUAUAUACCACGAGUUAUUCGCAUCUGCCUCUCAUCUAUGGAACUUAAAAGGAUUAUUGAAGAAGUUAAAGAGCCUUCAGUGUGGACAAAAGGUGUACUCAAUAUUUGUAUGUACAUUAUUGCUAGUCAUGUAAGUUUCGAUAUAUAUCCUUAUUUAUUUUUGUAUGUCAAAUCAAUUCUUAUUAUUCUUGAACCACGAGCUGGUGGUCCAGUGGUAAAUGAUGAAUUACGAGACUUCUUUAAAAAAUUAAAAACUGGAGGUCUCGGGUUCGAAACCCGAUGUUGGGGUGAAAGCCAAACUUGUGGCCAUGGAGAGGCUGAAAUGUCUUUGUAAGUCUUCUUGGCCCCCGGAAGGGAUGAAUAACCUUGACUGGCCACCAGUU